UACGAAGGGGGCUAGCGUUGUUCGGAAUUACUGGGCGUAAAGCGAGCGUAGGUCGCUUAGCAAGUCAGUGGUGAAAGCCCAGAGCUCAACUCUGGAACUGCCAUUGAAACUGCUAAGCUGGAAUCUCAGAGGGGAUAGCGGAAUUCCAAAUGUAGAGGUGAAAUUCGUAGAUAUUUGGAGGAACACCGGUGGCGAAGGCGACUAUCUGGAUGAGUAUUGACACUGGGGCUCGAAAGUGUGGGGAUCAAACAGG
This 253-nucleotide ribosomal RNA is filed under the name uncultured bacterium. RNAcentral's name for it is "partial 16S ribosomal RNA". It matches the Rfam family "Bacterial small subunit ribosomal RNA", at positions 524 to 776 of the family's 1533-position model. The record is from RNAcentral.